RNAcentral lists this ribosomal RNA (301 nucleotides) under uncultured bacterium. RNAcentral's name for it is "partial 16S ribosomal RNA". It matches the Rfam family "Bacterial small subunit ribosomal RNA", at positions 509 to 807 of the family's 1533-position model. The record is from RNAcentral.
CAGCCGCCACGGGAAUACGAAGGGUGCAAGCGUUGUUCGGAUUUACUGGGCGUAAAGCGCACGUAGGCGGAUCGAUCAGUCAGGGGUGAAAUCCCAGAGCUCAACUCUGGAACUGCCUUUGAUACUGUCGAUCUGGAGUUUGGAAGAGGUGAGUGGAAUUCCGAGUGUAGAGGUGAAAUUCGUAGAUAUUCGGAAGAACACCAGUGGCGAAGGCGGCUCACUGGCUCAUACUGGACGCUGAGGUGCGAAAGCGUGGGGAGCAAACAGGAUUAGAUACCCGUGUAGUCCCUGUCUCUUAUAC